GACGAACGCUGGCGGCGUGCUUAACACAUGCAAGUCGAACGGUGAAGCCCUUCGGGGUGGAUCAGUGGCGAACGGGUGAGUAACACGUGAGCAACCUGCCCCUGGCUCUGGGACAACCACUGGAAACGGUGGCUAAUACCGGAUACGACCCGCCUCGGCAUCGAGUGUGGGUGGAAAGUUUUUCGGCUGGGGAUGGGCUCGCGGCCUAUCAGCUUGUUGGUGAGGUGAAGGCUCACCAAGGCGACGACGGGUAGCCGGCCUGAGAGGGCGACCGGCCACACUGGGACUGAGACACGGCCCAGACUCCUACGGGAGGCAGCAGUGGGGAAUAUUGCACAAUGGGCGAAAGCCUGAUGCAGCGAUGCCGCGUGAGGGAUGACGGCCUUCGGGUUGUAAACCUCUUUCAGCUCCGAAGAAGCGAAAGUGACGGUAGGAGCAGAAGAAGCACCGGCUAACUACGUG
RNAcentral lists this ribosomal RNA (462 nucleotides) under uncultured bacterium. RNAcentral describes it as "partial 16S ribosomal RNA". It matches the Rfam family "Bacterial small subunit ribosomal RNA", at positions 28 to 507 of the family's 1533-position model. The record is from RNAcentral.